Molecule: ribosomal RNA, 429 nt
Filed under: Gemmatimonadota bacterium
Lineage: Bacteria; Pseudomonadati; Gemmatimonadota
Description: Gemmatimonadetes bacterium partial 16S ribosomal RNA
Rfam family: Bacterial small subunit ribosomal RNA
Source: RNAcentral
UAGGGAAUCUUCGGCAAUGGACGAAAGUCUGACCGAGCAACGCCGCGUGAGUGAAGAAGGUUUUCGGAUCGUAAAACUCUGUUGUUAGAGAAGAACAAGGACGUUAGUAACUGAACGUCCCCUGACGGUAUCUAACCAGAAAGCCACGGCUAACUACGUGCCAGCAGCCGCGGUAAUACGUAGGUGGCAAGCGUUGUCCGGAUUUAUUGGGCGUAAAGCGAGCGCAGGCGGUUUCUUAAGUCUGAUGUGAAAGCCCCCGGCUCAACCGGGGAGGGUCAUUGGAAACUGGGAGACUUGAGUGCAGAAGAGGAGAGUGGAAUUCCAUGUGUAGCGGUGAAAUGCGUAGAUAUAAGGAGGAACACCAGUAGCGAAGGCGGCGCUCUGGUCUGUAACUGACGCUGAGGCUCGAAAGCGUGGGGAGCAAACAGG